This 500-nucleotide ribosomal RNA is filed under the name uncultured bacterium. RNAcentral's name for it is "partial 16S ribosomal RNA". It matches the Rfam family "Bacterial small subunit ribosomal RNA", at positions 30 to 523 of the family's 1533-position model. The record is from RNAcentral.
AUUGAACGCUGGCGGAAUGCUUUACACAUGCAAGUCGAACGGCAGCACGGACUUCGGUCUGGUGGCGAGUGGCGAACGGGUGAGUAAUGUAUCGGAACGUGCCCAGUCGUGGGGGAUAACGUAGUGAAAAUUACGCUAAUACCGCAUACGAUCUAUGGAUGAAAGCGGGGGAUCGCAAGACCUCGCGCGAUUGGAGCGGCCGAUAUCAGAUUAGGUAGUUGGUGGGGUAAAGGCCCACCAAGCCAACGAUCUGUAGCUGGUCUGAGAGGACGACCGGCCACACUGGAUCUGAGACGCGGUCCAGACUCCUACGGGAGGCAGCAGUGGGGAAUUUUGGACAAUGGGCGAAAGCCUGAUCCAGCCAUUCCGCGUGCAGGAUGAAGGCCCUCGGGUUGUAAACUGCUUUUGUACAGAACGAAAAGGUUUCUACUAAUACUAGGAGCUCAUGACGGUACUGUAAGAAUAAGCACCGGCUAACCACGUGCCAGCCGCCGCAGUAA